GGGCCCGCACAAGCGGUGGAGUAUGUGGUUUAAUUCGAUGCAACGCGAAGAACCUUACCUACUCUUGACAUCCAGAGAAGCCAGUAGAGAUACAGGUGUGCCUUCGGGAGCUCUGAGACAGGUGCUGCAUGGCUGUCGUCAGCUCGUGUUGUGAAAUGUUGGGUUAAGUCCCGCAACGAGCGCAACCCUUAUCCUUGUUUGCCAGCACUUCGGGUGGGAACUCCAGGGAGACUGCCGGUGAUAAACCGGAGGAAGGUGGGGACGACGUCAAGUCAUCAUGGCCCUUACGAGUAGGGCUACACACGUGCUACAAUGGCGCAUACAGAGGGCGGCCAACUUGCGAAAGUGAGCGAAUCCCAAAAAGUGCGUCGUAGUCCGGAUUGGAGUCUGCAACUCGACUCCAUGAAGUCGGAAUCGCUAGUAAUCGUGGAU
RNAcentral lists this ribosomal RNA (432 nucleotides) under uncultured bacterium. Its description in RNAcentral is "bacterial SSU rRNA". It matches the Rfam family "Bacterial small subunit ribosomal RNA", at positions 917 to 1349 of the family's 1533-position model. The record is from RNAcentral.